Molecule: long non-coding RNA, 1115 nt
Filed under: Sorghum bicolor (sorghum)
Lineage: Eukaryota; Viridiplantae; Streptophyta; Magnoliopsida; Poales; Poaceae
Description: long non-coding RNA (SBIC_LNC003715)
Source: RNAcentral
UUUUUAUUCCUUUUUGUGCUUUAUUUUUUUCCCUUUCUUUUUUUCAUUUUUUAUUUCAUUCAUCUUUUUUAUUUUUUUUGUUUCUUUUGGCAACACAUUAAUUUAGUGCUGGUUACAAAGGUGUUUAUUAGAUUACUUUUUGUGGCAUACAUGCAUGCAUGUGAUUGAAUGGCUACAAACGUCUUGAUAUUGAUCCAACGAUGGUUGUUUAAUUUUUUUAGUGGACUAAUAUCAUAGGAAGCGAGUGAUACUAUUUUUUGUUUCUGUUUUAUUCAAUUUUUCAUAUUAUUUUUUAUUUACUAUCAUUAAUUAGUUUUAUUUAUUCUUUUUUAUUUCUUUUUUUGUAUUUAUGUUUUUAUAGAUUUUUUUUUAUUUUUCUACUUUAUCUUACUUAAUUAUUUUUUUAUAUUUACUUUUUUUCUUUUCUAUAUUUCAUGAGAUGUGAUGUAAAAUGAUGUUUUUUGCAACGUUUAUGUGGUAUACAAUGCCAUGUUCUUUGAUGUUUUUUAUGAUGUUUAUGUAGUAUAUGUAAUGUUCUAUGAUUUUUUAUGAUGUUCAUGUGUUAUACAUGUAAUGUUCUAUGAUAUUUUUUUGAUGUUCGUGUGGUAUUUUUGUAAUGUUCUACGAUUUUUUUUAUGUUCGUGUAAUAUAUAUCUGAUAAUGUAAUAUUCUAUAUUGUAUUUGGCGAUGUUCUAUAUUGCAUUUGGUGAUGUUCGAUGGUUCAUUUAGUGAUGUUCACUUAGUAUAUAUGAUGCUAUAUAUAGUGAUAUUCACGUAAUAUAUAUGCGAUGUUCUAUAAUGUAUUUAAUGGUGUUCUAUAUUGUAUUUAGUGAUGUUCUAUGAUAUAUUUAGCGAUGUUCAUGUUAAAAAAUGUCUCUAUAGAAUAAAUAUUCAUUAAUAAAAAUUAUCUAAAUAUAUUCAUGUGAGAUCUUGUUUUGAAGGAUUUAUUAUAAGAAACAUAAUGGUGAAAAUAGAAUUUAAUUUGGAUAAUCGGUUUAGUAGUUAUAACUUUUUUUAGUUUGUAGAAAACUUCUCGUAUGUAACUUGAUAGAAUAAAAAAUUAAUUUAUUCCACCUGUUGGCUUCAUGCACGUGCUGGCUGCGGGUGGGCGGCAU